This 483-nucleotide ribosomal RNA is filed under the name uncultured bacterium. RNAcentral's name for it is "partial 16S ribosomal RNA". It matches the Rfam family "Bacterial small subunit ribosomal RNA", at positions 28 to 507 of the family's 1533-position model. The record is from RNAcentral.
GAUGAACGCUGGCGGCGUGCCUAACACAUGCAAGUCGAACGGAGUCGUUUUGGAAAUCUCUUCGGAGAUGGAAUUCUCGACUUAGUGGCGGACGGGUGAGUAACGCGUGAGCAAUCUGCCUUUAAGAGGGGGAUAACAGUCGGAAACGGCUGCUAAUACCGCAUAAAGCAUUAAAUUCGCAUGGUUUUGAUGCCAAAGGAGCAAUCCGCUUUUAGAUGAGCUCGCGUCUGACUAGCUAGUUGGCGGGGUAACGGCCCACCAAGGCGACGAUCAGUAGCCGGACUGAGAGGUUGAACGGCCACAUUGGGACUGAGACACGGCCCAGACUCCUACGGGAGGCAGCAGUGGGGAAUAUUGCGCAAUGGGGGAAACCCUGACGCAGCAACGCCGCGUGAUUGAAGAAGGCCUUCGGGUUGUAAAGAUCUUUAAUCAGGGACGAAACAAAUGACGGUACCUGAAGAAUAAGCUCCGGCUAACUACGUG